GCCGGCGUAGCUCAGCAGGCAGAGCGGGCGAUUCGUAAUCGCCAGGUCAGGGGUUCGAAUCCCCUCGCCGGCUCCA
Molecule: transfer RNA, 76 nt
Filed under: Bacillota bacterium
Lineage: Bacteria; Bacillati; Bacillota
Description: Firmicutes bacterium (sediment metagenome) tRNA-Thr
Rfam family: tRNA
About the family: Transfer RNA (tRNA) molecules are approximately 80 nucleotides in length.
Source: RNAcentral